GGGGGGAGCGCUGAUCCUGGGCUCUGUACCUCGGCGCCCUGGGCUCCAGGGCCUGCAUUGCUGGAAUCUCGCUCCCAGGGCAGCGCAGCCCCCU
This 94-nucleotide microRNA precursor is filed under the name Canis lupus familiaris (dog). RNAcentral's name for it is "mir-8799 microRNA precursor family". It matches the Rfam family "mir-8799 microRNA precursor family". RNAcentral also lists the same sequence under 1 other name. Lineage: Eukaryota; Metazoa; Chordata; Mammalia; Carnivora; Canidae. The record is from Rfam by way of RNAcentral.